This 22-nucleotide microRNA is filed under the name Bactrocera dorsalis (oriental fruit fly). Its description in RNAcentral is "bdo-miR-11593". Lineage: Eukaryota; Metazoa; Arthropoda; Insecta; Diptera; Tephritidae. The record is from miRBase by way of RNAcentral.
UCCAUGAAAUUCUGUAAUUCUG